UAGGGAAUAUUAGAAAUGGACGCAAGUCUGAUCUAGCAACACCGCGUGUGCGAAGAAGGCCUUCGGGUUGUAAAGCACUUUUUGAGAGGAUGAGGAAGGACGGUACUCUCAGAAUAAGUCUCGGCUAACUACGUGCCAGCAGCCGCGGUAACACGUAGGGGGCGAACGUUAUCCGGAUUUACUGGGCGUAAAGCGCGUGUAGGUGGUUUGGUAAGUAGGGCGUGAAAGCUCCUGGCUCAGCUGGGAGAGGCCGUUCUAAACUGCCGAACUAGAGGAUGGUAGAGGGAGGUGGAAUUCCGGGUGUAGCGGUGGAAUGCGCAGAUAUCCGGAGGAACACCAGUGGCGAAAGCGGCCUCCUGGACCAUUCCUGACACUCAGACGCGAAAGCUAGGGUAGCAAACGG
RNAcentral lists this ribosomal RNA (403 nucleotides) under uncultured bacterium. Its description in RNAcentral is "bacterial SSU rRNA". It matches the Rfam family "Bacterial small subunit ribosomal RNA", at positions 355 to 775 of the family's 1533-position model. The record is from RNAcentral.